ACCGGGUGUCGUGGCGGGCGCCUGUAAUGCAAGUGACUGGCAGGUAGAUGGUGAAGGACGGAGUGAGAGGAGGAGUCCUGUUGGGUGNAGCGCUUGCGAGUCGUUGACGCCCAAUAGCCUCCUCAAGACCUUCGGACUCACCAUCGU
Molecule: signal recognition particle RNA, 147 nt
Filed under: Anisakis simplex (herring worm)
Lineage: Eukaryota; Metazoa; Nematoda; Chromadorea; Rhabditida; Anisakidae
Description: Metazoan signal recognition particle RNA
Rfam family: Metazoan signal recognition particle RNA
About the family: The signal recognition particle (SRP) is a universally conserved ribonucleoprotein.
Source: Rfam by way of RNAcentral